GACGGGUUAAGGGGCCCGAUGCAGGACGCUCAUGAGACCCCAUGAAAGGUGUUGGUUGCUAUAGACAGCAGGACGGUGGCCAUGGAAGUCGGAAUCCGCUAAGGAGUGUGUAACAACUCACCUGCCGAAGCAACUAGCCCUGAAAAUGGAUGGCGCUUCAGCGUCGACCCCAUACCCGUCCGCCGCGGCGGAGAUGCGAUCGCAUUAUGCCGCGGUGAGUAGGAGGGCGCGGGGGCGCGCGUGGAAGGUGUCGGGCGUAAGCCCGCCUGGAGCCGCCCCCGGUGCAGAUCUUGGUGGUAGUAGCAAAUACUCAAGUGAGAACCUUGAGGACUGAGGUGGAGAAGGGUUCCAUGUGAACAGCAGUUGAACAUGGGUCAGUCGGUCCUAAGGGAUGUCCGAAAGGAUUUCCGAAGGGGGACUUUAUGUAGGAGGGUCCCGCCCAUGACCGAAAGGGAAUCGGGUUAAUAUUCCCGAACCCGGACACGGAGAUCGGCCCCCUCGGGGGCACGUGCGGUAACGCAAACGACCUCGGAGACGUCGACGGGGGUCCCGGGAAGAGUUGUCUUUUCUUUGUAAGGGCUCGGUUCCCUGGAAUCGGCUCGCCCGGAGAUAGGGAUGCUGAGCCCGUAAAGCACCGCGCCUCUUGCGGUGUCCGGAGCGCUCCCGUCGGCCCUUGAAAAUCCGAGCGAGAGUUGGUGAUUUUCGUGCCGGACCGUACCCAUAUCCGCAGCAGGUCU
Molecule: ribosomal RNA, 737 nt
Filed under: Algidia chiltoni longispinosa
Lineage: Eukaryota; Metazoa; Arthropoda; Arachnida; Opiliones; Triaenonychidae
Description: partial large subunit ribosomal RNA
Rfam family: Eukaryotic large subunit ribosomal RNA
Source: RNAcentral